RNAcentral lists this long non-coding RNA (580 nucleotides) under Coturnix japonica (Japanese quail). RNAcentral describes it as "lncRNA (ENSCJPG00005018538.1)". The record is from RNAcentral. Lineage: Eukaryota; Metazoa; Chordata; Aves; Galliformes; Phasianidae.
AUGUCCCAAAAGCAGGUUGGCGCCCCCCCAGGCGACAGCGCGGUUGACUGGUGCCUCUACCAGCUCAAUGGAGCCGCCGAGUUCGAGGUCUCCGAAGGUGAGUACGGGGCGCUGAGUUGGGGUGCAGCCAAGUGGCCGUUCCCACGUCCUGUUGCCCGCUGGUGGCUUGCAGACUCCAGGCCGAUGGCCUCGAAACGUGGCGGCUGCUCUUGGCCUAACGAGGAUGGCUGUGGGUGGUGGAGAGUUUGGCUGCGCUCAGGGAAGGUGGGGAAAGGGGCUCAGGCUGCUGAGGGGCCUGGUGUGAGCACCUCGGCCGGUUGGCUUCUGUGGGGAGAUGUUGGGUUUUGUCCUAUGGGACGAGGUGGCAUCAGUCCACUUGGGCACUUGGCGCUGCUGUUGCUCGUGAGGCCAUGCAGUACAUGUGAGAGUUUUGUGCCUUCGUUGUGUUUUCUUAACUUUGAUGGGAGUUGUAACUUGGAAAGGCUCGUUUCUGAAUAUUCUUUAAAAAGGAGCUGCCUUUUGGUGCCUUCUGCCUCUGAACCACUUUGAAUAUACACUAUAUUUCAACCUCUGUUUUCCA